This 548-nucleotide ribosomal RNA is filed under the name uncultured bacterium. RNAcentral describes it as "bacterial SSU rRNA". It matches the Rfam family "Archaeal small subunit ribosomal RNA", at positions 728 to 1276 of the family's 1478-position model. The record is from RNAcentral.
AAUAGAUACCCAGGUAGUCCUAGCCGUAAACGAUACUCGCUAGGUGUCGGCCACGGUGCGACCGUUGUCGGUGCCGUAGGGAAGCCGUGAAGCGAGCCACCUGGGAAGUACGGCCGCAAGGCUGAAACUUAAAGGAAUUGGCGGGGGAGCACCACAACGGGUGGAGCUUGCGGUUUAAUUGGAUUCAACGCCGGAAAUCUUACCGGGACCGACAGCAAUAUGAAGGCCAGGCUGAAGACUUUGCCGGAUUAGCUGAGAGGUGGUGCAUGGCCGUCGUCAGUUCGUACUGUGAAGCAUCCUGUUAAGUCAGGCAACGAGCGAGACCCACGCCCACAGUUGCCAGCGUACUCUCCGGAGUGACGGGUACACUGUGGGGACCGCCGCUGCUAAAGCGGAGGAAGGAAUGGGCAACGGUAGGUCAGUAUGCCCCGAAUAUCCCGGGCUACACGCGAGCUACAAUGGUUGGUACAAUGGGUAUCUACCCCGAAAGGGGAUGGAAAUCUCCUAAAGCCAAUCUUAGUUCGGAUUGAGGCUGCAACUCGCCCUCA